CUAAGUACUGCCUUUUCAUAUUCAGACAGUGUAACUGUUUUUUGCUUUAGGUUUGUAGAAACCUCUAGAAAAGCUGAUCAUAAUGCUAGUUGGGUUUGGGGAGGAGAGAGGAAGGCUUAGUAGUAAGAAGCAACUGUAAAACUAAUCUUUCUGGUGGGACAGCAGCCAAAACCAGUUUGUGUUUAAGUGUAGAGAAGUAAAUUAUUGUGUUCCACAAAGUUAUUCAUUAGUGGGAGUGUAAUAGCACAGAUUACUGGUGGUUUUCUGGCUGUUUGCAUGUGCUCUGCUAAAUCUAUCCAUGGACAACUAAAUCAAAUGAAAACUAAAAAUAAAAAGCAUUAGAUAAACUGUUUAAACAACAACAAACCCUUAAAUUACACUCUGCAAAAAUCAGAUCUUUGAAAUAUCUAGUUCUUCAUUCAAGGAAAGUGGUUAUUUACCAAAAUGAAAGAACAUCCUUUAAAGAUGUUUAGAGAAGCUGUGAAUGUACUUUAAGUUUUGAAUUUCAGGAUUUUACAUGUGUUUCCCUCCCUUCUCCUACAAAUUACUGCAGAAGAGUUUAUGGCAUGAUUCAAACACUGGAUCUUUCUAUAACAUAUAUUGGUAGUACAUGGAUUAUGAACUUCAUUUAGUCUUGUUAUAAAGACUGCCUCGCUGCUCCAUGGUUAAGGUUGUGUUAAGAUUUUCACAUAAAGCAGAGAAUAAAAAUCUUUGCCACAUGUAAAUAACAAUGUAUCCUCCAACUUACCGCACUUAGUUUAUGAGUAAAGAAUUAAUUUUCAAAUAAAUUUUGUCAUACAAUUUGAGUUUUUAACAUUUUAAAACAGGUCCUCAGAGCAAUUUUUUGUUUAACCGACCCUGUUUUGGCUUCCUAUAUGGAAUACAUUCCUGACAGAUUUUAUCCCAGCUUUAAGUGCAUAUGUGCUUGUUUGUUAUCUUGUCUGUUUAUUACCGUAUAUUUGCUGGAUAUACUUAAAUGUUAGCAUUAACUAUUUCGCCAAUCAUUUUAAUUGACUUCUUUAAGUUGCAGAGUUAACACCCAUGUGGGCCAGUUCACAUUUCUGAGAAGCAAAAUUGUCUCUUCUGGCACUAUUGAUUUUACUUCUGAAUUCCUGGUCCUGUUCUUCUUGCCUACCCAGUCCCAGUCUCCACUCCUGAGGCUUCCCAUCUCAGUCUCUUUGUACAUCCAGUCCAAGUCUCUCUCCUCCCCACAGCUCCUCAUCCUAGUCUCCUUGUUCAACCAGUUUCAGCCUCCCCAUUCCCCUUUAGUUCCCAGACUCACAUAGCAUAUGAAGGAUUUGGGGAUGAGAUACUAUUAAUGUGUAAACUAUCCUUCUGGUAGUAUGUGCAUAUAACUCAUUAAAAUAUGCACUCAAAAGAAUAUACUUCUUGGCACAAGUUUCAGAUGUUAAUUGUAACA
This is a long non-coding RNA of Dermochelys coriacea (leatherback sea turtle), 1420 nucleotides long. RefSeq lists it as uncharacterized. The transcript is spliced from 3 exons. The record is from RefSeq and is a predicted model, not a curated record. Lineage: Eukaryota; Metazoa; Chordata; Testudines; Dermochelyidae.